Molecule: long non-coding RNA, 1091 nt
Organism: Diceros bicornis minor
Lineage: Eukaryota; Metazoa; Chordata; Mammalia; Perissodactyla; Rhinocerotidae
Exons: 3
Source: RefSeq, a predicted model, not a curated record
CAGAGUUUUCAUAGUGUGGUUGGGCUGCAUCCAUUAAGGCUGGUACUCAGGUAGGGGUGGGGCUCACCAGCCUGGUUAUUGCUGAGGAUGCUUGCAGCCCUGGUGGAAGCACCCUGGCCAGUAUUUGAAAUGUAAAUUCAAUAUCUAAAAUGGAAAUACCGGGUGCCAGGCAUCCUGGAAUUUGCCUUUUCAAGGCCACCUGUCCUAUCAUCCCCUCCAUCCCUCCAGGCUGCCAUGAUCCUCCCUCUGAACCCCAUGGUCAGUGUCGCUGCAGAGAUCCUCCCUUUGGACCCUGCCUGCCUGAAGGGCCCAUACCUUGAUCAGACGUCUUAGAACGACUGCCCUUAGCCAUGUCAUAAAAAGGAGAAAACAUCAUAUUUGACAACCCCAAUUCCUGCAUUAUACAGACAGGAAACUCAGGUGCACUUCACCACACGCUUCUCAGUUGCGUGGAUGCACAUCUCCACUUCUUUGCAGGGAGGACGAACAACAGCAGAAUACCCGUGGCCUGACUUUCUGGAGCAUCAGUAUUACUACAAGAUUUGGAAAAACCAAAGUUAGGUCAUUUCCAAGGGGUAUGGAGCUCCCAGACUUAUUAACUACACAGAGAGAGGAAGAGUCAGAACACAUUCAAUAAACUCUAGUGUGCUCAGGUGAGAUGGUAAGUGCCUGAACUCACAUCUGAAGAAGAACUUAGAGGAUGCUUUCUGACUCUGCUUCAUGCCUGACUAAGCAGUCCUGGACAUCCCCGUUAUGGCCACAGAAUAACACAGGCAGCCUUGAUGGACCAGAAGUCCUCCUAUGUCCAUCAUUUGUACAGAACAAACUGGCUUAAGACCUCUCAUUUCCUGCUGCAGUGGUAAUUUACAGAGAUACAGAACUGCCAUCUAGUGACUCAGAAGAAAACAGCAAGGUGCUUUACAUGGAAAAUGAAAUUGUAAGUUUUUAAAAAAAGAACAGUGAAGCACUAAAGUUGGUAAAGUUGACACAAAGUUGACAGAAUGUGGCACACGAAUGUUAUAGUAAAACUGGAAAAUGUGUAGGUGAAGUAACCAGUUGUUCUCUAUGCCUCUAAAAUAUGACUUGACAUU